RNAcentral lists this ribosomal RNA (442 nucleotides) under uncultured bacterium. RNAcentral's name for it is "partial 16S ribosomal RNA". It matches the Rfam family "Bacterial small subunit ribosomal RNA", at positions 338 to 795 of the family's 1533-position model. The record is from RNAcentral.
CCUACGGGAGGCUGCAGUGGGGAAUAUUGGGCAAUGGGCGGAACCCUGAUCCAGCAACGCCGCGUGAAGGAAGAAGGAUUUCGGGUUGUAAACCUCUUUCAACAGGGAAGAGCUGAAGACGGUACCUCUUCAAUAAGCCACGGCGAACUACGUGCCAGCCACCGCGGUAAUUCGUAGGUGGCAAGCGUUUUCCGGAUUUACUGGGUGUAAAGGGCGUGCAGACGGGAAGGCAAGUCGGAUGUGAAAUCCCGGGGCUCAACCGCGGGACUGAUUUUGACACUGUUUUGCUUGAGUACCGGAGAGGUCAUCGGAAUUCCUGGUGGAGCGGUGAAAUGCGUAGAUAUAAGGAGGAACACCAGUGGCGAAGGCGGAUGACUGGACGGCAACUGACGGUGAGGCGCGAAAGCGUGGGGAGCAAACAGGAUUAGAUACCCGUGUAGUC